RNAcentral lists this ribosomal RNA (501 nucleotides) under uncultured bacterium. Its description in RNAcentral is "partial 16S ribosomal RNA". It matches the Rfam family "Bacterial small subunit ribosomal RNA", at positions 30 to 523 of the family's 1533-position model. The record is from RNAcentral.
AUUGAACGCUGGCGGCAGGCUUAACACAUGCAAGUCGAGCGGGGGAAGGUAGCUUGCUACCGGACCUAGCGGCGGACGGGUGAGUAAUGCUUAGGAAUCUGCCUAUUAGUGGGGGACAACAUCUCGAAAGGGAUGCUAAUACCGCAUACGUCCUAUGGGAGAAAGCAGGGGAUCUUCGGACCUUGCGCUAAUAGAUGAGCCUAAGUCGGAUUAGCUAGUUGGUGGGGUAAAGGCCUACCAAGGCGACGAUCUGUAGCGGGUCUGAGAGGAUGAUCCGCCACACUGGGACUGAGACACGGCCCAGACUCCUACGGGAGGCAGCAGUGGGGAAUAUUGGACAAUGGGGGGAACCCUGAUCCAGCCAUGCCGCGUGUGUGAAGAAGGCCUUAUGGUUGUAAAGCACUUUAAGCGAGGAGGAGGCUACUUUAGUUAAUACCUAGAGAUAGUGGACGUUACUCGCAGAAUAAGCACCGGCUAACUCUGUGCCAGCAGCCGCGGUAA